CGCCUCUUGAUAAUAAUAAGAGGUCUCGCCUGCCCAGUGAUAAAUUAACGGCCGCGGUACCCUAACCGUGCAAAGGUAGCAUAAUCACUUGUUCUCUAAAUAAGGACUAGUAUCAACGGCAUCACGAGGGUUACACUGUCUCUCCCAUCCAAUCAGUGAAACUGAUCUCCCCGUGAAAAAGCGGGGCUAAAACUAUAAGACGAGAAGACCCCAUGGAGCUUUAAACCAACAGCAAUUUAGUAAAAAACUCCCUCACAACUAUAAAAAUUAUGCUAACGGCUUUAGGUUGGGGUGACCGCGGAGUAAAACUUAACCUCCAUAUCGAAAAGAUUAAUCUUUACCUAAGAACCACCACUCUAAGAAUUAGAACACUAACGAACCAUGACCCGAUUAUCGAUCAACGAACCAAGUUACCCUGGGGAUAACAGCGCAAUCUACUUCAAGAGUCCUUAUCGACAAGUAGGCUUACGACCUCGAUGUUGGAUCAGGGUAUCCCAGUGGUGCAGCCGCUACUGAAGGUUCGUUUGUUCAACGAUUAAAACCCU
RNAcentral lists this ribosomal RNA (545 nucleotides) under Raorchestes bombayensis (Bombay bubble-nest frog). Its description in RNAcentral is "partial 16S ribosomal RNA". It matches the Rfam family "Bacterial large subunit ribosomal RNA", at positions 1819 to 2597 of the family's 2925-position model. Lineage: Eukaryota; Metazoa; Chordata; Amphibia; Anura; Rhacophoridae. The record is from RNAcentral.